GGCUGGGGGUGCCUGCAAGGCAAAGGGCGCUUUGCGGGGGUCCCCAGGCCUCAUGGGGGGAGAUCCCCCUGGGUGCGGAUUCCCCCCGAGACACACACCCCUCUGGUCAGGGGCAGCUGCAGUGAUGCUGUGGACCAUGCUGACUGAGGCUUAUCAUCUUGCACCGUAGAGUUAGGAACUACAGAGCCUGGACGGGGAAGCCAUGCAGGAGAACUCAGAAGUUGGCGUUUCUUUGGAUUAUCUGGAGAAUGCUCCUACCACAGCCCCUCAGAUGGAAGGAACGAAGGAGGCCUGUGAUUCUGGGCCUGGAGCCUUGAAGGAAGAAGAGGAGACCCCAAGAGUUGCCCAUGCAGGUGAUGGUGAGAAAGUGGAGACCAUGAAGGAGGAGGAGGAGGAGAAGGAGAAGAAGG
Long non-coding RNA from Elgaria multicarinata webbii, 410 nucleotides. RefSeq lists it as uncharacterized. The transcript is spliced from 4 exons. Lineage: Eukaryota; Metazoa; Chordata; Lepidosauria; Squamata; Anguidae. The record is from RefSeq and is a predicted model, not a curated record.